This 1353-nucleotide long non-coding RNA is filed under the name Marmota monax (woodchuck). Lineage: Eukaryota; Metazoa; Chordata; Mammalia; Rodentia; Sciuridae. The record is from RNAcentral.
AUCUUUUGGAGGACACCAUAGGUCCAUAACAGCCUGGGAUACCUUACACUUUUAUCUGUAUCCCCUGGUAUCCCUACAAAGCAGAUGUACUGAUAAGCCUCAUCCCUACUGAGAAUCAGACUAGGUUGGCUGAACCUAUUGUGUCCUGCCUCCUUCUCUUAGAAGAAACCAGAGCUGACACUUUGACCAUGUGGAACAGAGCCACUGGAAUUAGAAAGAGGACUAGGCUGGGGAUUGUUCAGUCCUCCACUAAUAUGCUGACUGCCCUUGGCCAAGACCCUUAACAUCUUUGGUAAGUGUUCCUCAAUUAAGUGUGAAUAAUGGCAAUGGCUCAGUAAGAUAUGGAGAGGUGUUUUCAGGCUACAAAUCACAAGUCAUGGUAAGGUCCCCUGUUCUCAUUGCUGUUGGACCUGUUGGCAGGUCCAAGGCAAGUCCAAGACAGGUCCAAGAAUUUCUUCCUCAACCUCAGAUUUUAGGACUUGAGUUUGGGGAGGGUAUAACUGCCAACCCCAGCAGAGACAAAGAGCUACAUGACCCCCACAAUCAUGAGGAGCUGUGCACUGGUGUCCUUCCUUUCUCCCAUCAACCCUAAGGUUUUUGUUUCCUGUUUAUUUGUUUUUGUUUUUUUAUUUCUUUGGUUUAUUGAUUGGUUUGAGUUUUCUUAAAUAUCUUUAUUGAGACAAAAAUUCACAUACUAGAAAAUUCACCAAUUAAAAGUGGACAUUUAAGUGGUUUUUAAUAUAUUUAUAAUCUAAGUUCACCACAAUUUCCAUAACCUAUAUUCACAUUUUCUUCACACUUGAAAGUCCCCAACCCAGUCCCCAUUUCCCUGCUCUAGGAAACCACUCAUCUACUUUUUGCUUUUUUAAAUUUGCCUACUCUAGGCAUUUCAUAUAAAUUCAUAUAAAUGAAAUUAUAAAACACCAUGUAAUAUUUUCUUUUUUUGACAGCUUCUAUCAUUUUACUGAUAUUUUCUGCUUAAUAAUACUUCAUCCUACUUUCCUUUAAUCCUUUAGACAUGGUUUCUUUUAGUUCUUUGAACAUACUUAGGAUUGCUUUGAAGUCUCUGUCAGCUACUGUCCUACAUCUAGGUCACCUCAAAAGCUGUGUCUCUUGUCUGAUUUUUUCCCCCAAUGUAACCCACUUUCCUGUUUCUUUGUAUGUCUCAAAAAUUUGUGUUAACAACUGGACAUUUUGGCUAAUAUAUAAGGCAAACUUGGAUACUGGCUCUCCCUUCUUCUCUGCCGGGUUUCUUGUUAUUUGUACAUUCAUGUGUUUGUUUACUGACAUGGCUGCACUAAUUCUGUGAAGUCAGAUAAAAGUCAGAUUUUUUUUUCUUGCUUUUAAUCUUUU